CAACACCACCCCAAUGGGUGUUGCUGGGCAGCUUCAAUGUGGUGCUCUUAUUCUUCUCACUUUGCUUGGUGAGGUAGAUUGCUGCUAUAACUUGAUGACCCUUCACAUACCUAACCAUUUCCUUGGCUCUCUUGUAGAGUGUAUCCAUUGUUUUCAGUGCCAUGAUGUUCUUGAGCAGAUUCAAUGCAUGAGCAGCACAGCCAAUGGGUGUGACAUGAGGGUAGGACUCCUCCACUUUAGACCAAGCAGCCUUCAUGUUCGCAACAUUCUGUCUCCAGUGCAAAUACCUUCUGUGGUCCAAGGUCAUUGAUGACUGCCUUCAGCUCAUCUGCAAUGUAGAGACCGGUGUGUAUGUUGUCCCUUGUGUCUGUGCUCUUGUAGAAUACUGGUUGAGGGGUGGAGAUGUAGUUAAUUAUUACUUGCCCAUGUAACAUUUGACCACCCAUCCAAGAUGAUUGCAAUACAGCCUGCUUUCUUUAUGAUUUGUUUGACCUUCACUUGAACUCUGUUGAACUCUGCAUCCAGCAAAUGAGUAGAUAAAGCAUGUCUGGUUGGAGUGGUGUAUAUGGGGCGAAGAACAUUCAGACAUCUCUUCCAAUACACAUUGCCUGUGAGCAUCAGAGGUGAACCAGUUGCAUACACAGCUCAAGCAAGACAUUCAUCAGCAUUUUUCUGACUAUGUUCCUCCAUUGAGUCAAAAAAACUUUGAUUCCAGGAGGACCAUGAGCUGUUGCGAUCAAUGAGGUGUCUGAUUCAUCAUUUUCACCUUGAAUAGAACUAGUUAACAAAAAAUGAUGUAUGACAUAAAAUAUAUUCACCCCACCCAGUAUUGAAAUCAAAACUUACCAGAAAGCAUGUUGUCCUCGGCUCAGACAGUGUAGUAGUGUGGGCUCAAUAGCAUCUCAUUAGUGUGCAAGAUCUUGAGAAUCAGCUGUACAUGUGAUGGACGAGUGUACUGUACAUGUGAUGGAAGAAUGCACUGUGCAUGCAGAGGGUUGUAAUUCCAUUGAAUUGGGGAUAGUUUAACCAAAAUAUGCCACAAAACCUAGAAUUGCCUUGUGUAUCCCACAAAAAAGGUUCACUAUAAUAAGCUAACCUUUUUGAUUAAUUUAAGCAAAAUUCCCCAAAUUCCAGGGCUUACAUUCCCAUGAAAAAUGUUCUGAAAAAUUCCGGAAAUUUACCCCGGAAGGUUUCCGACCCUUUGCAACACUAGUCUCAACUAACCCCACGACCAUUGGCUCAACUUACCCCAAGGCAAACAUUUUGCCUAUAUUAGCCAACACAGCAACAAGGACGCACUUUCCUGCUAGGUUUAGUACCUCAUAUUGAAGCUUAUAAGACCCCAACUGAUAUAUAGCACAAUCUUCUUUGGUUUAGAUACAAGCAUUAUGAAAUUCGUUUGACAUGGUGAAAAUCACAGAAUAUAUUAGGUGACUUGCAGAAUGUAAACAGGUCUACCUUUGACCUAUUGGCAGGUCACCAAUGCAACUGUCUGGGAUGUACCCAACUGUCUGUGAAGCAUUACUGAGAAAGCAGCUGUGGAGCGAUACCGUAGAGUACAAACUAACGCUGGACUCCUUAUCCAUUUACCAAACAUACCUGUCAAACUGGGUCAGAAAAUGACCCAUUUCAACUCAAAUUCUGAGACUGUACAGCCAUAUAAGCAUAUUAUAUUUAUCCAGAGGUAUAGGUAGGUUUAGUUUGUGUGUACAAUAAUUCUGAUGCAACAGCUCUGAAUUAUACACACUAUAUUGUGCAUACUUUUCUUUAACCUAUUAUGUCAUUUGGUGUCCUUGCUCUUUGGAGAAUGUAUAUGGAACAAGACAUAUGUAUGUUGAUUUUGUUUUGUUGUGCUUUGUUAGUUCCAGCCUCACAGAUGCAUUGGAAGUAUACGCUAGGGGAGAGGGCUUGGUGGCGCCCCAGUUUUUAACCUCUCAGACGUGGAGAAUUAAGGCACACAUGCAAAGGUUUACGUUCAUACUGUUUUCUAACCACCCUACUACAUUUAAUACCAAGUUCCCACAAAAUAUUUUGCAAUUUAGGCUCACAUGCCAAAGUGUACAGUCUGUCCUGAGGUUAUCGUCAAGGUGAUUCC
RNAcentral lists this long non-coding RNA (2095 nucleotides) under Salmo salar (Atlantic salmon). Its description in RNAcentral is "lncRNA (ENSSSAG00000092811.1)". Lineage: Eukaryota; Metazoa; Chordata; Actinopteri; Salmoniformes; Salmonidae. The record is from RNAcentral.